GGAGGGAGGAAGCUCUGAGGACAGAAUUCUCGGAAAGUUUGGCUGAAAAGAUGAAAUUAACGAUAAGCAGGCAAAAAUUGAACAAGCUGAGAAUCAUCUAAUGAGUUUGCGUUUGGAGCUGAAGGCUGCCGACUCGAAACUGAAGAACUAUGACUUGGAAGCUUCGACCUUAAAACUUGAAAUCAAGGAUUUGAGUGUGAGGUUAGAUUCUGUUAAGGCCACAGCUCAAUCAUACGAGAGAGAAGCAAGGAUAAUGGAACAAGAAAAGACUCACCUGGAGCAGAAGUAUCAAUCCGAGUUCAAAAGGUUCUAGGAAGCAGAUGAAAGGUGCCGGGCUGCAGAAAAUGAAGCAAAAAGAGCGGUUGAUUUGGCUGAUAAAGCUCGGGAGGAAGCAGCACUUGCUCAAAGUGAAAAGAGCGAAGUUCAGCGACUGGUGAUGGAAAGAUUAACCCAAAUCAAGAGAGCUCACGGGCAAGUUGAAAGCCUUGAAAGAUGGAAAGCUGACCUGAUAGAUGAGGUCGAAUGUUUGUGCCGCUCUGAAAUGGAUGUUGUGUCCAAGGUUGAAUUUCUAGAAAAGCAGGUCGAAGAAAGAGAGAGAGAUUUAAUCACUGCUUGAGUCGAACCCUCAAACCUCUGCAAUGUGUUUGGACAGAUUGCAUCAGUGUGCUGUCUGGUGAACUGGUGUUAAAAUCUCACCUUGUUUUUUUUCGAGCUUAUUACGACUAUUUUAAGUAUAAAUACUAAUGGUGGAACUUUUUUAAUUCACGAAUUAUUAAAAAUUAAGUUGGGUCAUGACUUUGAUGAACCUGAACUGGCUGAACAUCUGAAUUGAGCCAAAAUUUCAAGUUUUUGAACUAUAUUUUUACCGUAAUGGAUGUUGGGUGAGAGCGUUUGUGUC
This is a long non-coding RNA of Magnolia sinica, 898 nucleotides long. RefSeq lists it as uncharacterized. The record is from RefSeq and is a predicted model, not a curated record. Lineage: Eukaryota; Viridiplantae; Streptophyta; Magnoliopsida; Magnoliales; Magnoliaceae. The transcript is spliced from 3 exons.